RNAcentral lists this ribosomal RNA (253 nucleotides) under uncultured bacterium. Its description in RNAcentral is "partial 16S ribosomal RNA". It matches the Rfam family "Bacterial small subunit ribosomal RNA", at positions 524 to 776 of the family's 1533-position model. The record is from RNAcentral.
UACGUAGGGGGCAAGCGUUGUCCGGAUUUAUUGGGCGUAAAGAGCGUGUAGGCGGCCAUACAGGUCAGCUGUGAAAACUCGAGGCUCAACCUCGAGACGUCGGUUGAAACCGUAUGGCUAGAGUCCGGAAGAGGAGAGUGGAAUUCCCGGUGUAGCGGUGAAAUGCGCAGAUAUCGGGAGGAACACCAGUGGCGAAGGCGACUACCUGGCCUGUUCUUGACGCUGAGGCGCGAAAGCUAGGGGAGCAAACGGG